Molecule: long non-coding RNA, 401 nt
Organism: Cotesia glomerata
Lineage: Eukaryota; Metazoa; Arthropoda; Insecta; Hymenoptera; Braconidae
Exons: 2
Source: RefSeq, a predicted model, not a curated record
AAUAAGCGUUCCGCGGGUGGGGAUAAUUCCACACCAGGGGCAAGUGAAGUUGGCGCACCGAAAAGCGACAUUGUGAAGCCGGAGCCCGAGACACCAGCACGAGAUCUUGGAAAACAGAUUUAAUUUACCGUUGACUAAAUCCCGAGCUACGACGCAAUUAACCAGAUCCGAGAUACCUGAUAGAGCUGUGUAAUUUGGCGGACAAAAUUUGCCUAGACCGAAGGCCACAGAAACGACUACGGAAGCCGAAUUAAAAGAAAAGAAAUCGCCAAAAAUUUCUCAGGUACAGAAAAUUUAACCUCGGUAAAUUAUUGCGUCGCUCCCGGAAAUUCUAGGCACAGGCCAGGUUCCGUCUUCCAAUCACCCUACUUGAUUAAUUAAUUAAUUAUCCGAAUUCAAAU